Gossypium raimondii (Peruvian cotton) is the source of this 87-nucleotide non-coding RNA. The record is from Rfam. NCBI's taxonomy places the organism in Eukaryota, Viridiplantae, Streptophyta, Magnoliopsida, Malvales, Malvaceae.
CACGUCAGUGCGCUUUACUGACGUGGCAACAAAUCGCGCCCUCUAGGACGUGAUUUUUUGCCACGUCAGCAAAGCGCGCUGACGUGG